RNAcentral lists this unclassified non-coding RNA (961 nucleotides) under Drosophila ananassae. Its description in RNAcentral is "GF10452". The record is from RNAcentral. Lineage: Eukaryota; Metazoa; Arthropoda; Insecta; Diptera; Drosophilidae.
AGCAUCUGCCAUCUCUAUGUGUUUACAUGUGAAUAUUUUGCUGAUUUCUAGCAAAAUCCAAAUUUACACAAUUUCCCCGCAAUAUGAGCUCUCCAACAAGUAAAAAUGUCAGCGAGACGAACGGAAACAAGCCAAAGAAGACGGGUAAAACAAAUUCCACGACGAAAAGUGGCUCCAUGGACACGCGCGCGGAAUUGGCAGACCUCAUCAAAAAAAAGGCAGAGACCUCGGAACAGUUGGCCAACCUAGAACGGCAAAUAUACGCCUUCGAGGGAUCGUAUCUGGAGGACACCCAGCUAUGUGGGAACAUCAUUCGCGGCUGGGAGCGGUACCUGACCUCCAACAAGGCAACGAACUCGAAGGCCGACAAACGAAAUCGCAAGUUCAAGGAGGCCGAGCGGCUGUUCUCUAAAUCCAGCAUCACUUCGAUGGCUAUAUGUAAUCCUGAGCGCGCCAGCGAAUCGGAUUCUAUAACCAAUGAAGACUCCAGCGACAAUCAGAUCUCUCUGAACCAGAACACAACAACGGCCCACGAUGGAGCCACGACAAUCAAGAGCACACCAAAAGAUGAAAAGGGUAAGAAAGAAUUUAUGUUCGAAGACGAUGAAAUCGACGUUGUGGCGCUAUAGAUAUACCUAAGAAGCUAGAGGCUAUUCAAAUUAAGAAAGAACUGAGCUAACAACAAAAGGAUUUCAAGAUGCUAAAAGCAAAACAAAUCUGUGAUCAAAAUACUCAAUUUAAUAACAAGGUUAUAAAAAGGUUCCUUAGCUUUGCUAAACUAGUCAAAAUUUCAAGAAAUCCACUGCUCAAGAAUAAGGCUAGCGUUUAUAUAUUUGUAAUCGCACUAGAGUUUAAAAUUGUAUUAAGACAUUCUCCUUCGCAUCGGAAUGAAGGUAGUCUUGGCGGCGUAUCAGCCGGCGGAGGAGCAAGUGGUGGAGGCAUUGGAGGCUUGAGCUCCGGC